GACGAACGCUGGCGGCGUGCUUAACACAUGCAAGUCGAACGAAGAGACAUGGAAGUUGGCUUCCUUCAAUUUUAGUGGGGAACGGGUGUAUAACGCGUAAUCAAUAUCUACUUCAGUGGGGGAAAUCAGGGGGAAACGAGUGCUAACACGGUAUAAGAUCUAAUCUCGGGAUCGAAGAGUGAAGGAAGGUGUCGCCUACAUGUAAGCAUGCACUCGAGGUGGAGUAGGCGUCUGAUUAGCUAGUUGGAGGGGUAACGGACCAUCAAUGCGAUGAUCAGUAGCCGGUCUGAGAGGAUGAACGGCCACAUUGGGACUGAGACACGGCCCAGACUCCUACGGGAGGCAGCAGUGGGGAAUCUUCCGCAAUGGACGAAAGUCUGACGGAGCAAAGCCGGGUGAGGGAUGACGGCCUUCGGGUUGUAAAGCUCUGUUAAUCGGGACGAAAGGCCUUCUUGCGAAUAGUGAGAAGGAUUGACGGUACCGGAAUAGAAAGCCACGGCUAACUACGUG
RNAcentral lists this ribosomal RNA (510 nucleotides) under uncultured bacterium. RNAcentral describes it as "partial 16S ribosomal RNA". It matches the Rfam family "Bacterial small subunit ribosomal RNA", at positions 28 to 507 of the family's 1533-position model. The record is from RNAcentral.